AAUAAAUGGAUUCUCUUCAGCUGCUGAAUAAUUUUUUCGCCUUUUACUGAAAAUUUCCGUGGAGAGGAACACUCUAAUGUGCCUAUAAAAAAUGUUGAAUGGUCUGUGACUUCAAGAUAU
This is a small nuclear RNA of Anastrepha ludens (Mexican fruit fly), 120 nucleotides long. RefSeq annotates it as U5 spliceosomal RNA. The transcript has a single exon. The record is from RefSeq and is a predicted model, not a curated record. Lineage: Eukaryota; Metazoa; Arthropoda; Insecta; Diptera; Tephritidae.